UACAGAGGGUGCAAGCGUUGUUCGGAAUUAUUGGGCGUAAAGGGCGCGUAGGCGGUGCGGUAAGUCUUUUGUGAAAUCUCCGGGCUCAACUCGGAGUCUGCAGGAGAAACUGCCGUGCUUGAGUGUGGGAGAGGUGAGUGGAAUUCCCGGUGUAGCGGUGAAAUGCGUAGAUAUCUGGAGGAACACCGGUGGCGAAGGCGGCAUCCUGGACCGACACUGACGCUGAGGAGCGAAAGCCAGGGGAGCAAACGGG
RNAcentral lists this ribosomal RNA (253 nucleotides) under uncultured bacterium. RNAcentral describes it as "partial 16S ribosomal RNA". It matches the Rfam family "Bacterial small subunit ribosomal RNA", at positions 524 to 776 of the family's 1533-position model. The record is from RNAcentral.